Molecule: ribosomal RNA, 463 nt
Filed under: uncultured prokaryote
Description: bacterial SSU rRNA
Rfam family: Bacterial small subunit ribosomal RNA
Source: RNAcentral
GGCGGCCCGCAACGCAACAGCCUAAGACUGACGCACCAACGCCGCGUGAGUGAUGAAGGCCCUCGGGUCGUAAACCUCUGUCAGAGGGGAAGAACCUCCAAUCGACUAAUAUCCGGUUGGCCUGACGGUACCCUCAAAGGAAGCACCGGCUAACUCCGUGCCAGCAGUCGCCGGAAUACGGAGGGUGCAACCGUCGUUCGGAAUUAUUGGGCGUAAAGCGCGUGUACGCGGCCAUUCAAAUCUGAUGUGAAAGCCCUGGGCUCAACCCGGGAAGUGCAUUGGAAACUGGAUGACUUGAGUACGGGAGAGGGUAGUGGAAUUCCGAUUGUAGGGGUGAAAUCCGAAUAUCUUCAGAGGAACACGGGGGGGAAGGCGGCUACCUGGACCGAUACUGACGCUGAGACGCGAAAGCGUGGGGAGCAAACAGGAUUAGAUACCCUGGUAGUCCACGCCGGUAAACGAU